Molecule: non-coding RNA, 219 nt
Filed under: Bacillus sp. (in: firmicutes)
Lineage: Bacteria; Bacillati; Bacillota; Bacilli; Caryophanales; Bacillaceae
Description: Bacillus sp. T-box sequence
Rfam family: T-box leader
About the family: Uncharged tRNA acts as the effector for transcription antitermination of genes in the T-box leader family. T-boxes are found upstream of many aminoacyl-tRNA synthetase genes and some amino acid biosynthetic genes usually in Gram-positive bacteria.
Source: RNAcentral
ACACACGCGAUGAUAGGGACAGUACAUUUUUUAGUUUUUUAAGCGAGUCGGGGAACGGUGCGAGCCCGGUAAAGGCGAAAAAUGGAAUAUCACCCUGGAGCGCUCUUUCCGAACGACAUUCAAGUAGGGAAGAGCGGGUCAUUCACGAUACGAAUGCUUGAGUGAACACAUUUUUGUGUUAAGCAGGGUGGCACCGCGGGAAACCUUCUCGUCCCUUUU